This 253-nucleotide ribosomal RNA is filed under the name uncultured bacterium. RNAcentral describes it as "partial 16S ribosomal RNA". It matches the Rfam family "Bacterial small subunit ribosomal RNA", at positions 524 to 776 of the family's 1533-position model. The record is from RNAcentral.
UACGUAGGGACCAAGCGUUGUCCGGAAUCAUUGGGCGUAAAGAGCGUGUAGGCGGCUUGUUAAGUCUUGCGUGAAAUCUCGGGGCUCAACCCCGAGCGGUCGUGAGAAACUGGCAGGCUAGAGUGCGGGAGAGGAGAGUGGAAUUCCUGGUGUAGCGGUGAAAUGCGCAGAUAUCAGGAAGAACACCCGUGGCGAAGGCGGCUCUCUGGACAGUUCCUGACACUGAGACACGAAGGCCAGGGGAGCAAACGGG